Molecule: ribosomal RNA, 423 nt
Filed under: uncultured bacterium
Lineage: Bacteria
Description: partial 16S ribosomal RNA
Rfam family: Bacterial small subunit ribosomal RNA
Source: RNAcentral
GUAGGGAAUCUUGCGCAAUGGGCGAAAGCCUGACGCAGCCAUGCCGCGUGAAUGAUGAAGGUCUUAGGAUUGUAAAAUUCUUUCACCGGGGACGAUAAUGACGGUACCCGGAGAAGAAGCCCCGGCUAACUUCGUGCCAGCAGCCGCGGUAAUACGAAGGGGGCUAGCGUUGCUCGGAAUUACUGGGCGUAAAGGGAGCGUAGGCGGAUAGUUUAGUCAGAGGUGAAAGCCCAGGGCUCAACCUUGGAAUUGCCUUUGAUACUGGCUAUCUUGAGUAUGGAAGAGGUAUGUGGAACUCCGAGUGUAGAGGUGAAAUUCGUAGAUAUUCGGAAGAACACCAGUGGCGAAGGCGACUCACUGGCCCGUUACUGACGCUGAGGCGCGAAAGCGUGGGGAGCAAACAGGAUUAGAAACCCGAAGUCC